GUGGGGAAUUUUGGACAAUGGGCGCAAGCCUGAUCCAGCAAUGCCGCGUGCAGGAAGAAGGCCUUCGGGUUGUAAACUGCUUUUGUACGGAACGAAACGGUCCGGGUUAAUACCCUGGGCUAAUGACGGUACCGUAAGAAUAAGCACCGGCUAACUACGUGCCAGCAGCCGCGGUAAUACGUAGGGUGCAAGCGUUAAUCGGAAUUACUGGGCGUAAAGCGUGCGCAGGCGGUUUUGUAAGACAGGCGUGAAAUCCCCGGGCUCAACCUGGGAAUUGCGCUUGUGACUGCAGUGCUGGAGUGCGGCAGAGGGGGAUGGAAUUCCGCGUGUAGCAGUGAAAUGCGUAGAUAUGCGGAGGAACACCGAUGGCGAAGACAAUCCCCUGGGCCUGCACUGACGCUCAUGCACGAAAGCGUGGGGAGCAAACAGGAUUAGAAACCCCGGUAGUCC
This 450-nucleotide ribosomal RNA is filed under the name uncultured bacterium. RNAcentral describes it as "partial 16S ribosomal RNA". It matches the Rfam family "Bacterial small subunit ribosomal RNA", at positions 354 to 796 of the family's 1533-position model. The record is from RNAcentral.